RNAcentral lists this unclassified non-coding RNA (215 nucleotides) under uncultured fungus. RNAcentral describes it as "sequence contains ITS1". The record is from RNAcentral. Lineage: Eukaryota; Fungi.
UUGACUGCUUGCGCAGGGGACUCAGAAUAAUACGAUGCGGUUUGUCAAUUAUCAUCAUUUGUGGGUUUGGGGUCCUUCGGCAGGCACCCCCCCGAAGGGGGCUGCUGGCUCCGCCCUGGAGCCGCCUGCCGAGGCAACGGUUACUUGGUAGGUUCAGGUAGGGUUUAGCGUCUUGCAGCUCGGCAAUGAUCCCUCCGCUGGUUCACCAACGGAGA